RNAcentral lists this ribosomal RNA (658 nucleotides) under uncultured Bacteroidales bacterium. RNAcentral describes it as "bacterial SSU rRNA". It matches the Rfam family "Bacterial small subunit ribosomal RNA", at positions 53 to 700 of the family's 1533-position model. The record is from RNAcentral. Lineage: Bacteria; Pseudomonadati; Bacteroidota; Bacteroidia; Bacteroidales.
ACAUGCAAGUCGAGGGGCAGCAUUUAGUUUGCUUGCAAACUAAAGAUGGCGACCGGCGCGCGGGUGAGUAACACGUAUCCAACCUGCCGAUAACUCGGGGAUAGCCUUUCGAAAGAAAGAUUAAUAUCCGAUAGUAUAUUAAAACCGCAUGGUUUUACUAUUAAAGAAUUUCGGUUAUCGAUGGGGAUGCGUUCCAUUAGUUUGUUGGCGGGGUAACGGCCCACCAAGACUACGAUGGAUAGGGGUUCUGAGAGGAAGGUCCCCCACAUUGGAACUGAGACACGGUCCAAACUCCUACGGGAGGCAGCAGUGAGGAAUAUUGGUCAAUGGACGAGAGUCUGAACCAGCCAAGUAGCGUGAAGGAUGACUGCCCUAUGGGUUGUAAACUUCUUUUAUAUGGGAAUAAAGUAUUCCACGUGUGGAAUUUUGUAUGUACCAUAUGAAUAAGGAUCGGCUAACUCCGUGCCAGCAGCCGCGGUAAUACGGAGGAUCCGAGCGUUAUCCGGAUUUAUUGGGUUUAAAGGGAGCGUAGGUGGAUUGUUAAGUCAGUUGUGAAAGUUUGCGGCUCAACCGUAAAAUUGCAGUUGAAACUGGCAGUCUUGAGUACAGUAGAGGUGGGCGGAAUUCGUGGUGUAGCGGUGACAUGCUUAGAUAUCAC